UAAGGAAUAUUGGACAAUGGAGGCAACUCUGAUCCAGCCAUGCCGCGUGAAGGAAUAAGGCCCUAUGGGUUGUAAACUUCUUUUAGACGGGACAAAACCCCUUUACGUGUAAAGGGUUGAUGGUACUGUCAGAAUAAGCAUCGGCUAACUUCGUGCCAGCAGCCGCGGUAAUACGAAGGAUGCAAGCGUUAUCCGGAAUUAUUGGGUUUAAAGGGUGCGUAGGCGGACUAAUAAGUCAGUGGUGAAAGCCUGCAGCUUAACUGCAGAAUUCCCAUUGAUACUGUUAGUCUUGAGUACAGUUGAGGUAGGCGGAAUGUGUCAUGUAGCGGUGAAAUGCUUAGAUAUGACACAGAACACCGAUUGCGAAGGCAGCUCGCUAAGCUGUAACUGACGCUGAGGCACGAAAGCGUGGGGAGCAAACA
RNAcentral lists this ribosomal RNA (422 nucleotides) under uncultured bacterium. RNAcentral's name for it is "bacterial SSU rRNA". It matches the Rfam family "Bacterial small subunit ribosomal RNA", at positions 355 to 774 of the family's 1533-position model. The record is from RNAcentral.